This 201-nucleotide long non-coding RNA is filed under the name Ananas comosus (pineapple). RNAcentral's name for it is "long non-coding RNA (ACOM_LNC031078)". The record is from RNAcentral. Lineage: Eukaryota; Viridiplantae; Streptophyta; Magnoliopsida; Poales; Bromeliaceae.
UUCUCAACAUUUACUGCUGCACUAUAAAUAUAAUGUAUUAUAUAUUCUUAUGAUUUUGUAUAUUUUUUAGUCUUUCUUAUAUUUUUAUUGCAAUAGCACUUACUUCUUUUUCAGUUGCUUUUUUUAUUUUUUUAAUUCUUCAUUUUUUAUUUACUAUUUUUUUAUUUUAUUUUAUUUUAUUUAUUUAUUUUUUCGGAAUCG